This 331-nucleotide long non-coding RNA is filed under the name Ovis aries (sheep). RNAcentral describes it as "Deleted in lymphocytic leukemia 1 conserved region 2 (ENSOARG00000021607.1)". It matches the Rfam family "Deleted in lymphocytic leukemia 1 conserved region 2". The record is from RNAcentral. Lineage: Eukaryota; Metazoa; Chordata; Mammalia; Artiodactyla; Bovidae.
AAAAGGAGCCAUAAAAUUGAACUUCCCACUAGCCAUUCUUUCCCUUUUUGCUCUCUGCACACUUCAGCUGGGAAUCUUUAUGCAGGUAGUAGUUAUUUGACUUGUAUUAUUCUGGUUGUAAUAAAGUUAUAUCUAAGAAGCUAAGAGAGCUGACCAACUGAGAAGGGAAAGCAGUUUGUUCUGACCGUAAUGACAAAAGGAGUUCAAGGCACACCAAACAUUUUUCUCCCAUUUAGAAACAUUCUAGUAUUUAAGCUUAUAAAUACUUGGGCUUCCCAGGUGGCUCAGAUGGUAAAGUGUGUGCCAGCAAUGCGGGAGACCUGGGUUUGAC